AGAAUCAACGCUGGCGGCGUGCCUAACACAUGCAAGUCGAACGAGAAAGUGGGAGCAAUCCCAUGAGUAAAGUGGCGCACGGGUGAGUAACACGUGACUAACCUACCCUUGAGUGGGGGAUAACCUAGGGAAACCUGGGCUAAUACCGCAUAAUACCUACGGGUCAAAGGAGCAAUUCGCUUUAGGAGGGGGUCGCGGCAGAUUAGUUAGUUGGCGGAGUAAUGGCCCACCAAGACAGUGAUCUGUA
This 247-nucleotide ribosomal RNA is filed under the name uncultured bacterium. RNAcentral describes it as "partial small subunit ribosomal RNA". It matches the Rfam family "Bacterial small subunit ribosomal RNA", at positions 26 to 285 of the family's 1533-position model. The record is from RNAcentral.